Molecule: ribosomal RNA, 468 nt
Filed under: uncultured bacterium
Lineage: Bacteria
Description: partial 16S ribosomal RNA
Rfam family: Bacterial small subunit ribosomal RNA
Source: RNAcentral
GACGAACGCUGGCGGCGUGCUUAACACAUGCAAGUCGAACGGAAAGGCCCUGCUUUUGUGGGGUGCUCGAGUGGCGAACGGGUGAGUAACACGUGAGUAACCUGCCCUUGACUUUGGGAUAACUUCAGGAAACUGGGGCUAAUACCGGAUAGGAGCUCCUGCUGCAUGGGGGGGGUUGGAAAGUGUCGGCGGUUGGGGAUGGACUCGCGGCUUAUCAGCUUGUUGGUGGGGUAGUGGCUUACCAAGGCUUUGACGGGUAGCCGGCAUGAGAGGGUGACCGGCCACAUUGGGCCUGCGAUACGGCCCAGACUCCUACGGGAGGCAGCAGUCGGGAAUAUUGCACAAUGGGCGGAAGCCUGAUGCAGCAACGCCGCGUGCGGGAUGACGGCCUUCGGGUUGUAAACCGCUUUCGCCUGUGACGAAGCGUGAGUGACGGUAAUGGGUAAAGAAGCACCGGCUAACUACGUG